CAGAAAAUAGUUUAAAUAAAAUAUUAGUUUUGGGGAUUAAUGAUGGGAGAGUUCUCUUUUCUGA
Molecule: transfer RNA, 64 nt
Filed under: Plesionika ortmanni
Lineage: Eukaryota; Metazoa; Arthropoda; Malacostraca; Decapoda; Pandalidae
Description: tRNA-Pro
Source: RNAcentral